Long non-coding RNA from Rhipicephalus microplus (southern cattle tick), 1092 nucleotides. Lineage: Eukaryota; Metazoa; Arthropoda; Arachnida; Ixodida; Ixodidae. The record is from RefSeq and is a predicted model, not a curated record.
AGAAUACGGACUGUGCAGCGGCGCGCGCUUCCGCGGAGCCGGCGGGGAAAGUCAGCGACGGACAAGGGUACUCGAACAAUCGACGACCGGCCACUUCCCAUUUCAACGGCAAGCAUUUCCUCGGGACCGUUUGCAUUGCUUGAUAUGGCAUCUGUAGACCUCGACAGGCUGUGCCACUGCCUCAGCAGCAUUGCAGUUGAUCAACUGUAUUCCCUGGGCGACGAAGAGUUCCUCUGCGGUCUUAAGAUCAGAGGCCAUCCCCUGGCAGUGGUAGUGUCCAUGAUCCGUGGGCAUUUAACUGCUAUCCGCAACACAAAUAGUCGUCUGAGCGAGAUGUGCGCAAUUUACUCGUCUCUAAUGGCCAAGAACCUGAUUAGACCCUGGGUUCUUUAUCACGUGCCUCUUCCCAAAGCCACUCUCGUGAUGCAGUACUUGAUCGAGAUGGAUUCGAACCGCGGCUUCGCUCAUUCGUUGAAGAUCUGGAGUGGAACUACCCAUAUGUGCGGGUUAGUUCCUGAAAGCGACGACCCAAAUACGGGUCACCAACUGUACUGCUUCUGUUUCUGGGCGGCGCAGAAGUGCGUUGCCGUCUACAGACCGCCGGAAGGAUAUUCUAACGCAGAAAAACAAUUCCUCGCCAAGAUGUUCGGCGGCGAUCCCAUUGGCUUUGCGCGCGGCACUUUCAACGACCUGGACUCUGCGCACCAGGCAGCUGUCGCUUUGGCCCAGCCCCAGUCUUCCUAGGAAGGCCUUCGAAAAACGCUCGUCAUGCCUCGAUGCACCCACGCACCCUUCAAGCGAACUGCCAACGCCGACAUGUUACACGCUUUAAAACAAGGUCUCUUGUCGAAUGAGAAGCAUCUGAACCGGCCAGAACUACGACGCAGCUCGACCACGUCAGCUCGAGCGUGGCGCCCAAUCAACCCACUACGUAUUGGAACACUCAGUGCAACGUACCUUACGAAUACAUGACGUGGCCUAGCAUGCAGGGCUGAUAACACGUCAUUAACAUAUGUAUACCUUUAACAACAUUAAUUUUCAGUGCUCGGGAUGUGUCUAGCUAUGUGACGAAUAAAGUUUUAAUAAUGAGGU